UACGGGGGGGGCAAGCGUUGUUCGGAAUUACUGGGCGUAAAGGGAGCGUAGGCGGUGUGGCAAGUCCGGUGUGAAAUCUCCGAGCUUAACUCGGAGCGGUCAUCGGAAACUGCCGUGCUAGAGUGUGGGAGAGGAGAGUGGAAUCCCCGGUGUAGCGGUGAAAUGCGUAGAUAUCGGGGGGAACACCAGCGGCGAAGGCGGCUCUCUGGACCACAACUGACGCUGAGGCUCGAAAGCUAGGGGAGCAAACAGG
This 253-nucleotide ribosomal RNA is filed under the name uncultured prokaryote. RNAcentral's name for it is "partial 16S ribosomal RNA". It matches the Rfam family "Bacterial small subunit ribosomal RNA", at positions 524 to 776 of the family's 1533-position model. The record is from RNAcentral.